This is a non-coding RNA of Pelobates cultripes (western spadefoot toad), 233 nucleotides long. NCBI's taxonomy places the organism in Eukaryota, Metazoa, Chordata, Amphibia, Anura, Pelobatidae. The record is from the annotation of a GenBank genome assembly.
AUCUAGUGCUACUAGGGAACUUCCAUAGAUACAUCUGCCUAAGUAGUUUAAACACAUGAUGUAACAAAAAGGUAAAAUAAACUGGGAAACAUCCAUUAUCCAAUCGUGUAGGGGAAAACAAAUCUUCUAUUUGAAGCCUCAUCCAUAGUCUUGAAAAGGAGGUAAACAAAAAAUGAGAGGCUAUAUCCUAAACAUGCAUUUUAAAUCAUCCAAGGCUACAAAAAAGCACAAAG